This 2774-nucleotide ribosomal RNA is filed under the name Escherichia coli. RNAcentral's name for it is "bacterial LSU rRNA". It matches the Rfam family "Bacterial large subunit ribosomal RNA". Lineage: Bacteria; Pseudomonadati; Pseudomonadota; Gammaproteobacteria; Enterobacterales; Enterobacteriaceae. The record is from RNAcentral.
AGCGUACACGGUGGAUGCCCUGGCAGUCAGAGGCGAUGAAGGACGUGCUAAUCUGCGAUAAGCGUCGGUAAGGUGAUAUGAACCGUUAUAACCGGCGAUUUCCGAAUGGGGAAACCCAGUGUGUUUCGACACACUAUCAUUAACUGAAUCCAUAGGUUAAUGAGGCGAACCGGGGGAACUGAAACAUCUAAGUACCCCGAGGAAAAGAAAUCAACCGAGAUUCCCCCAGUAGCGGCGAGCGAACGGGGAGGAGCCCAGAGCCUGAAUCAGUGUGUGUGUUAGUGGAAGCGUCUGGAAAGGCGCGCGAUACAGGGUGACAGCCCCGUACACAAAAAUGCACAUGCUGUGAGCUCGAUGAGUAGGGCGGGACACGUGGUAUCCUGUCUGAAUAUGGGGGGACCAUCCUCCAAGGCUAAAUACUCCUGACUGACCGAUAGUGAACCAGUACCGUGAGGGAAAGGCGAAAAGAACCCCGGCGAGGGGAGUGAAAAAGAACCUGAAACCGUGUACGUACAAGCAGUGGGAGCCUCUUUAUGGGGUGACUGCGUACCUUUUGUAUAAUGGGUCAGCGACUUAUAUUCUGUAGCAAGGUUAACCGAAUAGGGGAGCCGAAGGGAAACCGAGUCUUAACUGGGCGUUAAGUUGCAGGGUAUAGACCCGAAACCCGGUGAUCUAGCCAUGGGCAGGUUGAAGGUUGGGUAACACUAACUGGAGGACCGAACCGACUAAUGUUGAAAAAUUAGCGGAUGACUUGUGGCUGGGGGUGAAAGGCCAAUCAAACCGGGAGAUAGCUGGUUCUCCCCGAAAGCUAUUUAGGUAGCGCCUCGUGAAUUCAUCUCCGGGGGUAGAGCACUGUUUCGGCAAGGGGGUCAUCCCGACUUACCAACCCGAUGCAAACUGCGAAUACCGGAGAAUGUUAUCACGGGAGACACACGGCGGGUGCUAACGUCCGUCGUGAAGAGGGAAACAACCCAGACCGCCAGCUAAGGUCCCAAAGUCAUGGUUAAGUGGGAAACGAUGUGGGAAGGCCCAGACAGCCAGGAUGUUGGCUUAGAAGCAGCCAUCAUUUAAAGAAAGCGUAAUAGCUCACUGGUCGAGUCGGCCUGCGCGGAAGAUGUAACGGGGCUAAACCAUGCACCGAAGCUGCGGCAGCGACGCUUAUGCGUUGUUGGGUAGGGGAGCGUUCUGUAAGCCUGUGAAGGUGUACUGUGAGGUAUGCUGGAGGUAUCAGAAGUGCGAAUGCUGACAUAAGUAACGAUAAAGCGGGUGAAAAGCCCGCUCGCCGGAAGACCAAGGGUUCCUGUCCAACGUUAAUCGGGGCAGGGUGAGUCGACCCCUAAGGCGAGGCCGAAAGGCGUAGUCGAUGGGAAACAGGUUAAUAUUCCUGUACUUGGUGUUACUGCGAAGGGGGGACGGAGAAGGCUAUGUUGGCCGGGCGACGGUUGUCCCGGUUUAAGCGUGUAGGCUGGUUUUCCAGGCAAAUCCGGAAAAUCAAGGCUGAGGCGUGAUGACGAGGCACUACGGUGCUGAAGCAACAAAUGCCCUGCUUCCAGGAAAAGCCUCUAAGCAUCAGGUAACAUCAAAUCGUACCCCAAACCGACACAGGUGGUCAGGUAGAGAAUACCAAGGCGCUUGAGAGAACUCGGGUGAAGGAACUAGGCAAAAUGGUGCCGUAACUUCGGGAGAAGGCACGCUGAUAUGUAGGUGAAGCGACUUGCUCGUGGAGCUGAAAUCAGUCGAAGAUACCAGCUGGCUGCAACUGUUUAUUAAAAACACAGCACUGUGCAAACACGAAAGUGGACGUAUACGGUGUGACGCCUGCCCGGUGCCGGAAGGUUAAUUGAUGGGGUUAGCGGUAACGCGAAGCUCUUGAUCGAAGCCCCGGUAAACGGCGGCCGUAACUAUAACGGUCCUAAGGUAGCGAAAUUCCUUGUCGGGUAAGUUCCGACCUGCACGAAUGGCGUAAUGAUGGCCAGGCUGUCUCCACCCGAGACUCAGUGAAAUUGAACUCGCUGUGAAGAUGCAGUGUACCCGCGGCAAGACGGAAAGACCCCGUGAACCUUUACUAUAGCUUGACACUGAACAUUGAGCCUUGAUGUGUAGGAUAGGUGGGAGGCUUUGAAGUGUGGACGCCAGUCUGCAUGGAGCCGACCUUGAAAUACCACCCUUUAAUGUUUGAUGUUCUAACGUUGGCCCCUGAUCGGGGUUGCGGACAGUGUCUGGUGGGUAGUUUGACUGGGGCGGUCUCCUCCUAAAGAGUAACGGAGGAGCACGAAGGUUGGCUAAUCCUGGUCGGACAUCAGGAGGUUAGUGCAAUGGCAUAAGCCAGCUUGACUGCGAGCGUGACGGCGCGAGCAGGUGCGAAAGCAGGUCAUAGUGAUCCGGUGGUUCUGAAUGGAAGGGCCAUCGCUCAACGGAUAAAAGGUACUCCGGGGAUAACAGGCUGAUACCGCCCAAGAGUUCAUAUCGACGGCGGUGUUUGGCACCUCGAUGUCGGCUCAUCACAUCCUGGGGCUGAAGUAGGUCCCAAGGGUAUGGCUGUUCGCCAUUUAAAGUGGUACGCGAGCUGGGUUUAGAACGUCGUGAGACAGUUCGGUCCCUAUCUGCCGUGGGCGCUGGAGAACUGAGGGGGGCUGCUCCUAGUACGAGAGGACCGGAGUGGACGCAUCACUGGUGUUCGGGUUGUCAUGCCAAUGGCACUGCCCGGUAGCUAAAUGCGGAAGAGAUAAGUGCUGAAAGCAUCUAAGCACGAAACUUGCCCCGAGAUGAGUUCU